CCUACGGGUGGCAGCAGUGGGGAAUAUUGCGCAAUGGGCGAAAGCCUGACGCAGCGACGCCGCGUGAGGGAUGAAGGUCCUCGGAUCGUAAACCUCUGUUAGCAGGGAAGAACGGUCACUGUGCUAAUCAGCAAUGAAUUGACGGUACCCGACUAAGAAGCCCCGGCUAACUACGUGCCAGCAGCCGCGGUAAUACGUAGGGGGCGAGCGUUAUCCGGAUUUAAUGGGUGUAAAGGGAGCGUAGACGGCGUCGCAAGGCUGAAGUGAAAGCCCGUGGCGCAACCGCGGAACCGCUGUGGAAACUGCGUGGCUGGAGUGCUGGAGAGGUAAGCGGAAUUCGUGGUGUAGCGGUGAAAUGCGUAGAUAUCAGGAGGAACACCGGUGGCGAAGGCGGCUUACUGGACAGUAACUGACGUUGAGGCUCGAAGGCGUGGGGAGCGAACAGGAUUAGAUACCCGAGUAGUC
RNAcentral lists this ribosomal RNA (465 nucleotides) under uncultured bacterium. RNAcentral describes it as "partial 16S ribosomal RNA". It matches the Rfam family "Bacterial small subunit ribosomal RNA", at positions 338 to 795 of the family's 1533-position model. The record is from RNAcentral.